RNAcentral lists this ribosomal RNA (433 nucleotides) under uncultured bacterium. RNAcentral's name for it is "partial 16S ribosomal RNA". It matches the Rfam family "Bacterial small subunit ribosomal RNA", at positions 29 to 507 of the family's 1533-position model. The record is from RNAcentral.
AACGAACGCUGGCGGCAUGCCUAACACAUGCAAGUCGAACGAAACCUUCGGGUCUAGUGGCGCACGGGUGCGUAACGCGUGGGAACCUGCCCUUAGGUUCGGCAUAACUCCCCGAAAGGGGUGCUAAUACCGGAUAAUGUCUUCGGACCAAAGAUUUAUCGCCUUUGGGUGGGCCCGCGUUGGAUUAGCUUGUUGGUAGGGUAAGAGCCUACCAAGGCGACGAUCCGUAGCUGGUCUGAGAGGAUGAUCAGCCACACUGGGACUGAGCCACGGCCCAGACUCCUACGAGAGGCAGCAGUGGGGAAUAGAGGACAAGGGGCGAGAGCCUGAUACAGCAAGGGCGCGAGAGUGAUGAAGGCGUUAGGGUUGGAAAGCUCUUUUAGCCGGGAUGAUAAUGACAGUACCGGGAGAAGAAGCACCGGCUAACUCCGUG